Molecule: long non-coding RNA, 2292 nt
Organism: Orbicella faveolata
Lineage: Eukaryota; Metazoa; Cnidaria; Anthozoa; Scleractinia; Merulinidae
Source: RefSeq, a predicted model, not a curated record
UAAUUAUGAUCUACUCUUUGUUCUGUACAAUCUCUGUCAACAGCUCUGGUCUAGUACACAAUCCAUGUGUAAUUAGUUCCACUUCUUCUUCUGACAUUGGCAUCAUUAUGGCUAGUCUUCAAAUAACUUGCGCCCCAUGCUCACUAUCUCUGAGAAAUGGAUGCAGGAAAAAAACAUCUCUUACAAGUUUCUUGUCUAUAAUUUGGUAAAUCGUCAAUCAGAUACUUUGUAGUCUCCACAUAGAACUGUUUCAUACCUGUGAGAGCAACCCGAACCGAAGGCUUUGGUUGGUCAGUGGUCAGCUUAGACAGGGCAGAACGAGUAUUUUCACCCUUUCUAUCUGUGAAUUUGACGGUAGGUUGUCUGACUUCUGCAGGUGCUUCCCCUCAAUGUCUUUAAGAACUUGGCUCUUCAAGAAGCGACCCAUUUGUAAUUUCAGCGGCUCAUACAUUCUAUAGAGCAGUAGAUGAAUAAGUGGCCCUUCACCCUGGAAGACUCCAUAAACAGUAGAAAAGCCAAAUGAUCUGGGAAGAACUUGUCUUUCAACUUUCAACAAAUACAUUUAUACAGUUCAUGGAUGAAUGGCAGAAAUCCAGGGAGUCCUUCAUCUAAGAGUACUUUGUUGAUGGCAGUCCAAAUUGUUUUGUUAACAUUUGGUCCAUCUGAUGGCAGACUCCCAAUAUCAAGCCUGAGGGAGGUAACUAGAAGUCCGUAUCUUCCAGCGUGUCCACAGUUUUCUUUGCAACAUCAUGACCUUUGGUAUGCCUUAAGAACAGUGUCUUCGAGAAUCUAGAAAUUCACUGCCUGUCAUUACAUCCACUAAAAUAAAAGUUAAUUAGUCAGGUAAUAUUUUUUUCCUUCGUAUUCUAGAGUUAUAGGGAUUAUAGGGAGUUUUUGAAUUAAAUAGGAAAGUAUAGGGAAAGUUAACAAAUAUAGGAAAUAUAGGGACACUUGAAGCCCUGUAAUAUCUAUGUGAAGACUACAUGUAUGAAUGAACAAAGUUUAAAUUUAUGGUGCAAGUGAACCAGUUGAAAAAAACUAGUUAUGGUGGGUAGCUACAACCUUGGUCACAAGGGUUGGAAAAAUUCAUUUUAUAUGCAUUUUGCCCUUCCCCACCCCUGUGCAAUGUUGACUAAACAUUUUCAUCUAACACAAGUUUUCAUGUUACCACUUUCCAACAUUGGAAGGGGGAAUGGGGGUGCUGGCACUUAUUCUCUAGGUAUUACAGUUAUGAAUUUAUGUUUUGGCAUUUUCCAACACAAUUUGUCCAUGGUUGUAGUUCGUUUUCUUGGUCUGAUUCAAACCAGGAUGGCAAUUCUUUGAUCUGUUAAUAAUGCUAUUAACAGAUAUUACUAAAUAACAUUAAUUCCAUUUUAGAACUGUCUUAAGAGAAUCAGACGAGGUGAAGAUGACACUGUUGAGGAUGAGGUCAAAUCUGAUUCAGAACUUCCACAAAACAUUGAAUCUCAAGAUGAUGGAUCACUAUCACAAGUACCUGCUACUCCUGUCAUGAACAAUAUUCAAACAUUUGGUGUGCAAAUAGAGACGAGAGAUCGAAUGGUUAUUUUGACGCCUGAACAACAAGAACGCAUUCGUCUGAACCGAGAAAGGGCGUUGGCAAAACGGAAAGCCGCUCAGGAGAAACAAGCUGAGGACAAUAAUACACAGACAGGUACCAGAGGAUUAGAAUCUAAGGAUCAAAACGUUUGUGCUGUGUCUCACCGAGAAGUGUAAAAAUUUAGCGAAGUGAUAAUUUAAAUGACCUGCCGUUUUGGAAUGGGAAUUUGAUUCAAAUUUAAGGAGCUACCGUUUGUCAGUGCGAAUGAUUGCUGUGACAAGGACGCAGUUCAGAGAUAAGUUAACGGGUAAAGAAAAUUAGGGACAACGCACAGAAUAAUCAAAAGCUAGGAAAGGGGGAUACAUGGUGUCUUUAAAAACGUUUUUCUCACUGGACUUACCAUUUCCAAUUCACGGUUUAAAACAUUCUUAGCAAAUGUCACACUUGCAUGUGUCAAGCUUUGGCAAAUCGUAGUAGAAGCACGCAAGAGAGCUUCUGAAUGUGAUUUGUUUAGAGCUCUAUAAAGCCACUAAUUAAGUCAUAGCGUGCCUAUUCCAUUUUUCAAGUGCACAGGUUAGGUUCUGUGUGCGCUCUGCAAUGCUAGGAGCUAUGUUUUAUCGGGAACUGUAUUUUCUUGUUACGCGCGCGUUAUUCUGUAUCAUAAUUUACGUUAAAGAAGCCAAAUCACGUAUUUUACUGUCAUACACACUUGACAGUAGAAAAAAAUUUUCUCG